Molecule: non-coding RNA, 74 nt
Organism: Bos taurus (domestic cattle)
Lineage: Eukaryota; Metazoa; Chordata; Mammalia; Artiodactyla; Bovidae
Source: Rfam
UCCCUGGCAGUCUAGUAGUUAAGACUCUGCACUUCCAAUGCAGGGUAUGCAAGUUUGAUCUCUUGUCAGGAGAU